UGGGGAAUUUUGGACAAUUGGGCGAAAGCCUGAUCCAGCAAUGCCGCGUGUGUGAAGAAGGCCUUCGGGUUGUAAAGCACUUUUGUCCGGAAAGAAAUCCUUGGCUCUAAUACAGUCGGGGGAUGACGGUACCGGAAGAAUAAGCACCGGCUAACUACGUGCCAGCAGCCGCGGUAAUACGUAGGGUGCAAGCGUUAAUCGGAAUUACUGGGCGUAAAGCGUGCGCAGGCGGUUUGCUAAGACCGAUGUGAAAUCCCCGGGCUCAACCUGGGAACUGCAUUGGUGACUGGCAGGCUAGAGUAUGGCAGAGGGGGGUAGAAUUCCACGUGUAGCAGUGAAAUGCGUAGAGAUGUGGAGGAAUACCGAUGGCGAAGGCAGCCCCCUGGGCAAUACUGACGCUCAUGCACGAAAGCGUGGGGAGCAAACAGGAUUAGAUACCCUGGUAGUCCACGCCCUAAACGAUGUCAACUAGUUGUUGGGGAUUCAUUUCCUAGUAACGUAGCUAACGCGUGAAGUUGACCGCCUGGGGAGUACGGUCGCAAGAUUAAAACUCAAAU
RNAcentral lists this ribosomal RNA (557 nucleotides) under uncultured bacterium. Its description in RNAcentral is "partial 16S ribosomal RNA". It matches the Rfam family "Bacterial small subunit ribosomal RNA", at positions 355 to 906 of the family's 1533-position model. The record is from RNAcentral.